Molecule: RNA transcript, 2425 nt
Organism: Drosophila miranda
Lineage: Eukaryota; Metazoa; Arthropoda; Insecta; Diptera; Drosophilidae
Gene name: protein brown
Exons: 8
Source: RefSeq, a predicted model, not a curated record
CCAUUGAACUCUUCUGGCUGUUGAAUGAACGAGUCAGGGCCACAGCAGCAGCAGGGCCCGUCCCUGUGCCUGGAGUGGAAGCAUCUCAAUUACUAUGUGCCCGCCCAGGAGCAGAGCAACUACAGCUUCUGGAACGAGUGCCGCAAGAAGCGUGAGCUGAGAAUACUCCAAGACGCUAGCGGUCACAUGAAUACCGGCGACCUCAUCGCCAUAUUGGGCGGCUCGGGAGCUGGAAAAACCACAUUGCUGGCGGCGAUUUCGCAACGAUUGCGGGGUAACCUAACCGGGGAUGUGGUUUUGAACGGAAUGGCCAUGAAGCGGAAUCAGAUGACGCGUAUUUCCAGCUUUCUGCCGCAGUUCGAGAUCAAUCUUAAAACCUUUACGGCCUACGAGCAUCUCUACUUCAUGUCGCACUUCAAGAUGCAUCGCAGCACCACCAAGGCGGAAAAGCGUCAACGCGUGGUGGAUCUGUUGCUGGCUGUGGGUCUCAGGGACUCGGCUCACACUCGCAUCCAACAGUUGUCCGGGGGAGAGCGGAAACGCCUAAGUUUGGCCGAAGAGCUGAUCACAGAUCCUAUCUUUCUGUUUUGCGACGAGCCCACGACAGGCCUGGACAGCUUCAGUGCCUACUCGGUGAUCAAGACGCUGCGUCAUCUGUGCACCCGUCGCCGAAUAACCAAGCACUCUCUGAGCCAGGUGUACGGCGAGGACUCCUUCGAAACGGCCAGUGGCGAGAGCAGCGGCAGCAACUCCAUCGAAAUGGAGAUUGUGGGCAGAUCGCACGAAAGUCUGCUGCAAGGAAUGCGGGAUCUGCCUACGCUGGGCCUCCUCAACAGCAGUCCGAACGGAUCGCUCAAGAAGGCGGCUAUUUGCUCCAUCCACCAGCCCACGUCGGACAUCUUUGAGCUCUUCACACACAUUAUUCUGAUGGAUGGCGGCCGGAUUGUCUACCAGGGACGGACCGAGCAGGCAGCCAAGUUCUUCACAGAUCUGGGCUAUGAACUUCCAAUAAACUGCAAUCCUGCUGACUUCUACCUAAAGACGCUGGCGGACAGUCAGGGAGCAAAGAAUGCCGGCGCCUUACUGCGUGCCAGGUAUGAGCACGAUACAGAUGGACUCUACAGCGGCAGUUGGCUGCUGGCCCGCAGCUACAGCGGGGAUUACCUGAAGCAUAUGCAGAGCUUCAAGAAGAUACGUUGGAUAUACCAGGUAUAUCUGCUAAUGGUUCGCUUCAUGACUGAAGAUCUGCGGAAUAUCAAAAGCGGCCUCAUUGGCUUUGGAUUUUUUAUGAUCACCUCUGUGACGCUCUCUUUAAUGUACUCCGGUAUUGGUGGCUUGACCCAACGCACCGUGCAGGAUGUGGGAGGUUCCAUAUUCAUGCUCAGCACCGAGAUGAUCUUCACGUUCAGUUACGGCGUCACCUACAUAUUUCCCGCCGCCUUGCCGAUCAUACGGCGGGAGGUGGGAGAGGGCACCUACAGCCUGUCCGCCUACUAUGUGGCCCUGGUGCUGUCCUUUGUGCCGGUGGCCUUCUUCAAGGGCUACGUCUUCCUGUCGGUUAUCUAUGCCUCCAUCUACUAUACGCGUGGCUUUCUGCUCUACCUGUACAUGGGCCUGCUCAUGAGUCUCUCUGCCGUAGCCGCCGUAGGCUAUGGCGUCUUCCUCUCCAGCCUCUUUGAGUCGGACAAAAUGGCAUCAGAGUGUGCGGCGCCAUUCGAUCUGAUCUUCCUGCUAUUUGGUGGCGUAUAUAUGAAUGUGGACACGUGGCCGGGGCUCAAGUACUUGUCGCUCUUCUUCUAUUCAAAUGAGGCGCUGAUGUACAAGUUCUGGAUUGACAUUGACACCAUUGAUUGCCCCAUCAACGCGGACCAUCCGUGCGUGAAGAGCGGCCUAGAGGUAUUGCAGCAGGCCUCCUACCGCACCGCCGACUACACCUACUGGCUAGACUGCUUCAGUCUCCUGCUCGUAGCCGUGGUCUUCCACAUCGUAUCGUUCGGCCUAGUGCGGCGCUACAUCCAUCGCAGUGGUUACUAUUGAAUCGGAGCCAACUUUUAUUUAUCCAAUUUCACUUAACAUCUUAUAAACAUUGACUCGCCGCUUCAGCACAAACUGCUGAUGGGUUUACUUUAUAUAAUUAAGCCUAAAACUUCAGUGGAAAGUAUUGCAUUGAUCGAGCGCGGGGGUCGCAUAAAAUAAAUCCCAAUUGUGUCGUUAAUCUUAGCUGAAUUGCAACUAAUUUGCAAUCAUGAUACGAUACGUGUUCCGGGCGGGAAUAGUGGGAUGCGAUUUAUAAGACCAGACCCAUAUCUGUAUAGGAUCAAUUUUACAAUCAAUUCAAAGGGGUUGUCUUCCUACCAUUCAUGAUGCACUUGCAAUUAAACAAAUUAAGCUAAAACAAUCAAAAAAAAAAAAAAAAAAAAAGGAA